AUACGUAGGGAGCGAGCGUUGUCCGGAAUUACUGGGCUUAAAGGGAGCGCAGGCGGAGAUGCAAGCGUGACGUCAAAUUUCGGGGCUCAACCCCGUCUCGCGUCGCGAACUGCGUCCCUUGGUUGCGGGAAGGGGAGGCGGAACUUGUGGGGGAGAGGGGUAAUGCAUAGAUAUCACGAAGAACUCCGAUAGCGAAGGAAGCCUUCCGGCCCGUCAACGACGCUCAUGCUCGAAGGUGCGGGUAUCAAACAGGAUUAGAUCCCCUGGUAGUCCGCACAGUAAACGAUGGACACCCGCGGUUUGGCCUGUAUGGCUGAGCCGCCAAGCGAAAGCGUUAAGUGUCCCACCUGGGGAGUACGCCGGCAACGGUGAAACUCAAAUGAAUUGACGGGG
Molecule: ribosomal RNA, 393 nt
Filed under: uncultured bacterium
Lineage: Bacteria
Description: partial 16S ribosomal RNA
Rfam family: Bacterial small subunit ribosomal RNA
Source: RNAcentral